CCUACGGGUGGCAGCAGUGAGGAAUAUUGGUCAAUGGGCGCAAGCCUGAACCAGCCAAGUCGCGUGAGGGAAGACGGCCCUACGGGUUGUAAACCUUUUUUGCCGGGGAGCAAGCCUGAGCACGUGUGCCCAGGCGGAGAGUACCCGGCGAAAAAGCAUCGGCUAACUCCGUGCCAGCAGCCGCGGUAAUAAGGGGGAUGCGAGGGUUAUCCGGAUUGAUUGGGUUAAGGGGGAGCGCGGGCGGGCUGUUAGGCUGACGGUAAAAAUUCAGGGCUCAACCCUGUCGAGCCGUCGGAACUGGCAGUCUUGAGUGGGCGAGAGGUAUGCGGAAUGCGUGGUGUAGCGGUGAAAUGCAUAGAUAUCACGCAGAACGCCGAUUGCGAAGGCAGCAUACCGGCGCCCGACUGACGCUGAGGCACGAAAGCGUGGGGAUCGAACAGGAUUAGAUACCCUUGUAGUC
Molecule: ribosomal RNA, 460 nt
Filed under: uncultured bacterium
Lineage: Bacteria
Description: partial 16S ribosomal RNA
Rfam family: Bacterial small subunit ribosomal RNA
Source: RNAcentral